Molecule: ribosomal RNA, 233 nt
Filed under: uncultured bacterium
Lineage: Bacteria
Description: partial 16S ribosomal RNA
Rfam family: Bacterial small subunit ribosomal RNA
Source: RNAcentral
UGAGCAAUCUGCCCUUCUCAUCGGAAUAAGCGUUGGAAACGACGUCUAAUGCCGAAUACGACCUCCUUUCGCAUGAUCGGAGGUGGAAAGCUCCGGCGGAGAAGGAUGAGCUCGCGGCCUAUCAGCUAGUUGGUGUGGGUAAUGGCCCACCAAGGCGACGACGGGUAGCCGGCCCGAGAGGGUGACCGGCCACACUGGGACUGAGACACGGCCCAGACUCCUACGGGAGGNAG